RNAcentral lists this ribosomal RNA (432 nucleotides) under uncultured bacterium. Its description in RNAcentral is "partial 16S ribosomal RNA". It matches the Rfam family "Bacterial small subunit ribosomal RNA", at positions 29 to 507 of the family's 1533-position model. The record is from RNAcentral.
GCGCACGCUGGCGGCAGGCCUAACCCCUGCAAGUCGCACGCACUCUUCGGAGUUAGUGGCGGACGGGUGAGUCACACGUGGGAACGUGCCUUUUGGUUCGGAAUAACUCAGGGAAACUUGUGCUAAUACCGAAUGUGCCCUUCGGGGGAAAGAUUUAUCGCCAUUAGAGCGGCCCGCGUCUGAUUAGCUAGUUGGUGAGGUAACGGCUCACCAAGGCGACGAUCAGUAGCUGGUCUGAGAGGAUGACCAGCCACACUGGGACUGAGACACGGCCCAGACUCCUACGGGAGGCAGCAGUGGGGAAUCUUGCGCAAUGGGCGAAAGCCUGACGCAGCCAUGCCGCGUGAAUGAUGAAGGUCUUAGGAUUGUAAAAUUCUUUCACCGGGGACGAUAAUGACGGUACCCGGAGAAGAAGCCCCGGCUAACUUCGUG